AUGACAAAUACAAAGGGAAAGAGGAGAUGCACCCAAUAUAUGUCCUCUAGGCCUUUUAGAAAAUAUGGAGUUGUUCCUUUGGCCACAUGGUACAUGUGAAUCUAUGAGACAGGUGAUACUGUAGACAUCAAGGGAAUGGGUACUGUUCAAAAAGGAAUGUCCCACAAAUGUUACCAUGGCAAAACUGGAAGAGUCUACGGUAUUACCCAACGUGCUGUUGGCAUUGUUGUAAACAAAUAAGUUACAGGCCAGAUUCUUGCCAAGAGAAUUGUGCCUAUUGAGCACAUUAAGCACACUAAGAGCCAAUAGAGCUUCCUGAAAUGUGUGAAGGAAAAUGUUUAGUAAAAGAAGGAAGCCAGAGAGAAAGGUACCCGGGUUCAAAUUAAGCGCCAGCCUGCUACACCCAGAGAAGCACACUGUGUAAGAACCAGUGGGAAGGAGCCUGAGUUGCUGGAGCCUAUUCCCUGUGAAUUC
This 474-nucleotide long non-coding RNA is filed under the name Homo sapiens (human). Its description in RNAcentral is "non-protein coding lnc-INTS4-3:1". The record is from RNAcentral. Lineage: Eukaryota; Metazoa; Chordata; Mammalia; Primates; Hominidae.